Molecule: ribosomal RNA, 289 nt
Filed under: uncultured bacterium
Lineage: Bacteria
Description: partial 16S ribosomal RNA
Rfam family: Bacterial small subunit ribosomal RNA
Source: RNAcentral
GGAUGAGCCCGCGGCCUAUCAGGUUGUCGGUGGGGUAAUGGCCUACCAAGGCGGCGACGGGUAUCCGGCCUGAGAGGGUGUGCGGACACAUUGGGACUGAGAUACGGCCCAGACUCCUACGGGAGGCAGCAGUGGGGAAUAUUGCACAAUGGGCGCAAGCCUGAUGCAGCGACGCCGCGUGGGGGAUGAAGGCCUUCGGGUUGUAAACUCCUUUCGCUAUCGACGAAGCCACUUUGUGGUGACGGUAGGUAGAUAAGAAGCACCGGCUAACUACGUGCCAGCAGCGCGG